UGAUAGAUAAGGGAUUAUGCGUGUGUAUAAAGGAUGAAGGGGAUUUGUUGUUAGUGUCAUUCCUGUUGUGUGUGGGUGAUUUGUCACAUGCCACGUCAUGUGGUGACAUGGAUAAAUUUGGUACAAAUGUAAUUUUUGUCUCCGUUUGUGGUUGAGUAAGCUCCACGGGGUGAAUGGAAUUAGGGUUGCGUGGCUUUGUCGCGGUGUCAGGAUUGGUGAGAGAAUUGCGUGUACUGUUCAUAGUGUUGAUGUCGACUCCAUUGCUUUUUUUGGUUUCUUCGCUAGUGUUGACCAUUGAUUUGAUCUCUUUGAUGAUGAAAUGGGUAUGAAGUUUGAGUGGUUUGCCGGGUUUGUGUUUUCGUCUUCAAGUGAUAUAUUAUUGAAAGCGUUGCAUUCAAAUUCCAGAGGGGUGCUGUUGUUGUUAGAGGAGAUUAGUUUUUCCUUAAAGCUAUCUUUUCCAUUUGUCCCUUCCUUUGGUUUGUUCACGCUGCGAAGUAAUUCAGGCUAUCAUCAUUUAUUACUGUAUCUUGCGUUAUUUUCAUUGUCGAUUGUGUGUGAUUUAUUGUUCUUCCCUUCUCUCUCUAUUUUUUAGAGAGAAGGCAGAGCUUUCCAAAAUGUUAACGAUGUUAAUUAAUCUUGUCUUA
This is a long non-coding RNA of Nicotiana tabacum (common tobacco), 644 nucleotides long. RefSeq lists it as uncharacterized. NCBI's taxonomy places the organism in Eukaryota, Viridiplantae, Streptophyta, Magnoliopsida, Solanales, Solanaceae. The record is from RefSeq and is a predicted model, not a curated record.